Molecule: small RNA, 81 nt
Filed under: Sinorhizobium meliloti 2011
Lineage: Bacteria; Pseudomonadati; Pseudomonadota; Alphaproteobacteria; Hyphomicrobiales; Rhizobiaceae
Description: putative ncRNA
Source: RNAcentral
GCGGAUAACCCUUGUACACUUUCAGUGUACCGUUUUUCAGAAGCUUAACAGCGAGGCGCGCAGAGCUGUCGAUCGGCACGA